Molecule: ribosomal RNA, 301 nt
Filed under: uncultured bacterium
Lineage: Bacteria
Description: partial 16S ribosomal RNA
Rfam family: Bacterial small subunit ribosomal RNA
Source: RNAcentral
CAGUAGCCGCGGUAAUACGUAUGUCACAAGCGUUACCCGGAUUUAUUGGGCGUAAAGCGCGUCUAGGUGGUUAUGUAAGUCUGAUGUGAAAAUGCAGGGCUCAACUCUGUAUUGCGUUGGAAACUGUGUAACUAGUGUACUGGAGAGGUAAGCGGAACUACAAGUGUAGAGGUGAAAUUCGUAGAUAUUUGUAGGAAUGCCGAUGGGGAAGCCAGCUUACUGGACAGAUACUGACGCUAAAGCGCGAAAGCGUGGGUAGCAAACAGGAUUAGAUACCCGCGUAGUCCCUGUCUCUUAUACA